This 76-nucleotide transfer RNA is filed under the name Candidatus Thiomargarita nelsonii. Its description in RNAcentral is "tRNA-Arg". The stretch from base 4 to 69 matches the Rfam family "tRNA". From Rfam's summary of the family: Transfer RNA (tRNA) molecules are approximately 80 nucleotides in length. Lineage: Bacteria; Pseudomonadati; Pseudomonadota; Gammaproteobacteria; Thiotrichales; Thiotrichaceae. The record is from RNAcentral.
UACAUACUAGCUCAUUUGGUAGAGCCUUUGACUACGAAUCAAACGGUAGCAGGUUCGAUCCCUGCGUAUAACACAA